UUAAAUGAAAGGAUUUUGAAUCAAUUAACCAAUCUUUAGCCUAAAACUUUAUAUAACAAGGUCUUCUCAUAGCAACUUCAUUAAAACCAUUUUCCUCCAUAGAUCUUGAAGACCUAACCCAAAGCACUUCCAAAAUUUAAUUAUAUCCAAUUAUUAUUAGAUAUAUCCAAUAAUAUCACUUCUCCUCUCCCUUUAUAGUAUUUGCCCUUCAGAGUCUUUGGAAAAUGCCACAAGAGGAUCUUCCCUACUCCAUUUCCUGCCUUUCGUUUCAUUGAUUCUCUCUUCUAAAGUCAGAUAAGUACACAACGAUAUCAGAAGGAUGCAGUUUUUUCAGCUUUUACAGCCAAUAUAAUGGUAUUUUCUAGCAGAUGCUCAAAUACUGCUCAUGGAUUGUUUGCAAGUUUCAUAGACAUAUAAUUUCAAGCUGAAAGAAAAGAGCUCCCAUGCUGAACACUGACAAGAGGCUUCUCUAACCCACUGGAUGGUGACAGCCUGGAGCCCUGAUGUUGUCUUGUGCCAGAGGACAAUGGCAUAAGCUGUGGAUCCUAACCACUGGUCUGGAAAACAAAACCUACCUUAUGAAGAACCGGUGUCAGAUUAUAGCCUGGAUGAUGCCUCUCCAGAUAAGGGACAGGAAGAUCUUUCUCUGGAGAAACUGAAACACCAACUGGGGAUCCCCAACAAAAAUAGGUCCAACUUCUCCAUUGUCCUUCCACCAGUCUACAGCUCUGCCUGCCCUGAGAACUUCCAAUCAGCAUUUGGGUGCUUCACCCUCCAAUAGAGAGAGACACACAAGGAUCGUCAGAAGGUAAGGAGUGCUAGAAGGAAAAGGCUAAAUCAAGAGGAAAUAGCAAAUAAGGGGGUACCUGACUAAGCGUCGACUCUUGAUUUCGGCUCAGGUCAUGGUGUCUGGGUUGUGGGAUUGAGCCCUGCUUCAGGCUCUGUGCUGAGUGUGGAUCCUGCUUGAGAUUCUCACUCUCUCCCUCUCUGCCCCUCUCCCCUUCCCCUGCUCACACUCUCUCUCAUCCUCUCUCUUUAAAAAAAAAGAAAGAACAAAUAAGUAGAAAAGGGGGUG
Molecule: long non-coding RNA, 1075 nt
Filed under: Felis catus (domestic cat)
Lineage: Eukaryota; Metazoa; Chordata; Mammalia; Carnivora; Felidae
Description: lncRNA (ENSFCAG00000041199.2)
Source: RNAcentral